GCUCGGGUGGCGCAAUCGGUGGCGCGUUCGUCUCAUAAUCGGAAGGUCGCGAGUUCGAUCCUCGCCCUGAGCA
RNAcentral lists this transfer RNA (73 nucleotides) under Tribonema minus. It matches the Rfam family "tRNA". From Rfam's summary of the family: Transfer RNA (tRNA) molecules are approximately 80 nucleotides in length. Their secondary structure includes four short double-helical elements and three loops (D, anti-codon, and T loops). Further hydrogen bonds mediate the characteristic L-shaped molecular structure. tRNAs have two regions of fundamental functional importance: the anti-codon, which is responsible for specific mRNA codon recognition, and the 3' end, to which the tRNAs corresponding amino acid is attached (by aminoacyl-tRNA synthetases). tRNAs cope with the degeneracy of the genetic code in two manners: having more than one tRNA (with a specific anti-codon) for a particular amino acid; and 'wobble' base-pairing, i.e. permitting non-standard base-pairing at the 3rd anti-codon position. Lineage: Eukaryota; Xanthophyceae; Tribonematales; Tribonemataceae. The record is from Rfam by way of RNAcentral.